This 292-nucleotide ribosomal RNA is filed under the name uncultured bacterium. RNAcentral describes it as "partial 16S ribosomal RNA". The record is from RNAcentral.
GGACUACCGGGGUAUCUAAUCCUGUUUGCUCCCCUUGCUCUCGCGCCUCAGCGUCAGGUCUAAACUAGAAAGCCGCUUUCGCCACCGGUGUUCCUCCACAUAUCUACGCAUUUCACCGCUACACGUGGAAUUCCGCUUUCUCCGUCAAUCCUCUAGAAAGACAGUUUCAAGUGUAGCACCAAAGUUGAGCUUUGGUAUUUCACACCUGACUUAUCAAUCCGCCUACGCGCCCUUUACGCCCAAUAAUUCCGAUUAAUGCUUGCACCCUACGUAUUACCGCGGCGGCUGGCAC